UUUGAGAGUUUAAAAUAUUUAUAACUGCUCAACACAUCUCCAUGUUCUGCUUGUGUUCAUUGUGCAGGGGAAAUGCCGGGAGUACAGACGACGUCACCGUAUAUCUUCUUUUCGGCCAGUGGAGGAUAUCACCGAAGAGGACUUAGAAAAUGUUGCCAUAACUGUUCGAGAUAAAAUCUAUGAUAAAGUUCUGGGUAACACGUGCCAUCAGUGUCGACAAAAGACCAUCGACACCAAGACAGUGUGUCGGAACCAGGGUUGCUGUGGUGUGCGAGGACAGUUCUGUGGACCAUGCCUGCGGAACCGCUAUGGGGAGGAUGUCAGAUCGGCAUUGCUGGACCCGGAUUGGGUGUGUCCCCCCUGUCGUGGGAUCUGCAAUUGCAGCUACUGUCGGAAGCGUGACGGCCGCUGUGCCACAGGAAUCCUCAUUCAUCUGGCCAAGUUUUAUGGUUAUGACAAUGUUAAGGAAUAUCUGGAGAGCUUACAAAAGGAGCUGGUAGAAGACAAUUAAGAGGAUUAAGAGGAAAACAGAACCAGCCACCUCACCAUAGAGUACUCCACCAAGACAUGCAUACCAUUGGUGCCUAAGAUUUUUUUACAGUUGUGUUUGUUUUUAUACAGAAAUUCUUUGUAGAAAUUACUAUUUUUUGUUAAAGAUUGUUUAUAUGCUUACAGAGAUUUCUCAGGAAGACAGCAGAGCAGAGGAAUCUAUAUAGAUGUAUGCACAGACCUGUUUGUUUGUAUGCUGAACUUUGUUAAAAAUAUCUGCCAGUUAUUAAAAAGCACAGUUUAAAUGGGGUGGGGUUAAAGUUCAGGUAAGUAAGUUAGAGAGAAAACAUUGUAUGAUCAGCUCCUGCCUUGAUCCAUCUUUGGCUUCCCAAACAGUAACUAACUCCAGGCCAAGUUUGCCUUAGCACGAGUGACCACACACAUCGUUUAACCUGCUCUUGGUCAUUGGAAAUUUACACUGAACAAAGUGCAAUUAACUGUAGAACAGUUUUAUUUUUAUUAAAACUUGACUGAACAAAAGGGGACCAUCAACAUUGUAGACACUGGAGGCCUUACAGAGUGCUAGCCUCUUCCUUCAGGACUCACCUGGGGCCUGCUGCUUUUAUAUUUAUAUUUUUAAGGGCUAAUAAUUUAAUUUGUUGUUUGUUAAAAAUUAAAAUCUCCGUUCUUUCCGGCUGCAUUGCUUUUGCAUGUUCACAUAUGAUGUACUUUUUUUUGAGGUGGAGUCUUGCUCUGUUGCCCAGGCUGGAGUGCAGUGGUGCAACCUCUGCCUCCUGGGUUCAAGUGAUUCUCCUACCUCCUGAGUAACUGGGAUUACAGUCGUGUGCCACCACGCUCAGCCCUGAGUAAGUUUCUAGUAUUUUUUUCUGACUUUCACUCUAAGGAUAGCAUUGAAAAAAGAAUGCACGUGUGAGUUACUAAAAAGUUAUAAUAGAAUAAUGUGCAUGGGAACAGUGCAGCAACAUGCUAGAAAAUUCUCACUGCACUCCAGCAGAGGCUAGAGGAAUGCCAGUGUUACCUUACGCUUCUAGAAGCAGAGCCACUCCAGCCAGAACCCAUUUUGCAGUCUUCUCUUUGCUCUUCAGCCUGAAGGUCCAGAUGUAGCUGGGGCCUCUCAGUUUGGUUCUAUACACAGGGCACUCGUAGGUCUGUUUGGUUUCCUGUCUGUCCACGGGGGUGGCUUUUGCAAAGAUGACCGGCAUAGGGCAUGCCAGCUCCUUGAGACGGGCUUCAACAAUGGUUCCUGCUUGGGUGUCCCAGUGGGCGCCUAUGGCAAAAACACAACGGUUGCAAUUGUGUGGCAGGUUGCUACUAAUGAUCAAGUUGUUUGAUGCAAUAAACAUUCAACAUUCUGCUUUUGUCA
RNAcentral lists this small RNA (1873 nucleotides) under Pan troglodytes (chimpanzee). RNAcentral's name for it is "retained intron". Lineage: Eukaryota; Metazoa; Chordata; Mammalia; Primates; Hominidae. The record is from RNAcentral.